This 706-nucleotide long non-coding RNA is filed under the name Corvus moneduloides (New Caledonian crow). RNAcentral describes it as "lncRNA (ENSCMUG00000020011.1)". Lineage: Eukaryota; Metazoa; Chordata; Aves; Passeriformes; Corvidae. The record is from RNAcentral.
GCAAGUGUGUCUCAUGAGUGCAGCCCUGCCACUGCUGCUGCUGGAGUGGGCGUCUGCUCACGGGGCUCACCUGCAGCUUCUCUCUUCUCUCUUUCCAGGAACUGCUGGACUACAUUGACAGAGUGGCUGUGCAAGAGAGGGUCAUGGGCAGGAUCAGGCUGCUGAGCCAUUUGCUGGCCGACUCUUCCACUGUGCAGGCUGGUCAAAAUGAGGGCAGCGGUGCUGCCAGCACAGAGAUCCAGAUACCAGUCCUUGGGAAGCUGCUGGGACAUCUCCUAUUCAAGUCACUCAGGACAGAAAAGACAAGCUCUAUGGCUCUGGAUUGUCUCUGCUCUCUCUUCACAUUCACCGGUCAUCAGAAAGGUGCCACACCACCAGUGGUUCGUGCCCAGCUCCCAGCAUAUUGGGAAUCUGAGAUCACCUCCUUGCUGCGUAAGCCCAGCGCCCGGAGAGUUCAGGUGACCAGCCCUCCCCCUUGCUGGGCCUCUCAUCCGUGGCAUCAGCAGGGGAUUGGUGUGCACAAAGGGGCGCAGAAUCAGCGGGGCUGUCCCUGGCGAGAGGCUUCCCGCUGUCCCCGAGCAGGGAACACUGCGGUGUCCCAGCAGCAGCAGCAGCAGCAGCUCCAGCCCUGCUGGCCACCAGCGAGCCCUGGCUCUCUGUAGGGCCCGUGCCCCAUGCCUGAGAGCCCAGCCCUCCUCCUUGUCAC